This 120-nucleotide ribosomal RNA is filed under the name Xenopus tropicalis (tropical clawed frog). The record is from RNAcentral. Lineage: Eukaryota; Metazoa; Chordata; Amphibia; Anura; Pipidae.
GCCUACGGCCAUACCACCCUGAAAGCGCCCGAUCUCCGUCUGAUCUCGGAAGCUAAGCAGGGACGGGCUUGGUUAGUACCUGGAUGGGAGACCGCCUGGGAAUACCAGGUGUUGUAGCUU